This 109-nucleotide transfer RNA is filed under the name Pelodiscus sinensis (Chinese soft-shelled turtle). It matches the Rfam family "tRNA". From Rfam's summary of the family: Transfer RNA (tRNA) molecules are approximately 80 nucleotides in length. Lineage: Eukaryota; Metazoa; Chordata; Testudines; Trionychidae. The record is from Rfam by way of RNAcentral.
GUCAGGAUGGCCGAGUGGUCUAAGGCACCAGAUGCAAGGUCCUACCUUUCCCUCAGUUGGGUGUUUGGGUUUCUGAAUGGAGAUGUGGGUUCAAAUCCAACUCCUGACA